RNAcentral lists this ribosomal RNA (583 nucleotides) under uncultured Bacteroidales bacterium. RNAcentral describes it as "bacterial SSU rRNA". It matches the Rfam family "Bacterial small subunit ribosomal RNA", at positions 48 to 625 of the family's 1533-position model. Lineage: Bacteria; Pseudomonadati; Bacteroidota; Bacteroidia; Bacteroidales. The record is from RNAcentral.
CUAACACAUGCAAGUCGAGGGGUAACAGGGGGCUUGCUCCCGCUGACGACCGGCGCACGGGUGAGUAACGCGUAUGCAACCUGCCUUCAACAAGGGGAUAACCCGUUGAAAAACGGACUAAUACCCUAUAAAACAGGGGUUCCGCAUGGGACUAUUUGUUAAAGAUUUAUCGGUUGAAGAUGGGCAUGCGUUCCAUUAGCUAGUUGGCGGGGUAACGGCCCACCAAGGCAACGAUGCGAUAGGGGAACUGAGAGGUUUAUCCCCCACACUGGUACUGAGACACGGACCAGACUCCUACGGGAGGCAGCAGUGAGGAAUAUUGGUCAAUGGACGCAAGUCUGAACCAGCCACGUCGCGUGAAGGAAGACGGCCCUAUGGGUUGUAAACUUCUUUUAUACGGGAAUAAAGUGCACCACGUGUGGUGUUUUGCAUGUACCGUAUGACUAAGGAUCGGCUAACUCCGUGCCAGCAGCCGCGGUAAUACGGAGGAUCCGAGCGUUAUCCGGAUUCAUUGGGUUUAAAGGGUGCUCAGGCGGGAUCUUAAGUCGGCGGUGAAAUUUUGCGGCUCAACCGUAAAAGUGCC